GCUGUGGGGGGACACAGAAACCACAGCAGUAAAACCCUUUCCACAGGGGUGCCCUCUGGCACAGGCACGACCGCUGGGCAGCUCUCCCCAGGCCCCGUGGCUGCUGGAGGAGGAGCAGUCUGAAGCCCCCAGCCCAGGUUGUGUGUCCGGCCCCGCACGGUGCCCAGGGCAGAGCGGCUGUGCCCGGACAGCGGCUUCAUUCAGCACUCCCACUCCAUUGUGCCUCAAGGUAGCUGGGCAGAACAUUUCCACUCCAACCAAUUUACUUGACCAGCUGCUGCCUGAAUUGCAGCUUUGUCUAUUCUCUUCCCCUUUCUCCCGCUGCUACUUGACCCCGCGGUGAAGUCACCAGCGGGCCAUGGCAUCACAGAGUUGGCACAAACAUGGCAGUGACGUCACAAGGAAAAAAUAACCACUUGGAGAUCAGAUCAGACCCGGGCAGGCCUGGUCUCCACAGAAGACAUGGCUUUAACUGACAGCUCUGGGAACUGGCAAACCCUUUCCCUGACAUCAACAGAACCCCCCUGCAAUUCAGAGCGCCCGAGAGAUUUCUCAAUAUAGGCUGCUGGCUCUCCAAAGGCAGUGUGGGAGCUGCAAUGCCUGGAAUGAGGCCCGGGGAUGGAGGCGGCGGAGGGCGGAAGGCUGUCACGCUCACACACACACUGCAGCUCGUGUCUGAGGCCCUGCUAAGGCCUCUGACAGCACCAGCUCCACAAACACCUUAUCUACAAAUGCAGCAGCUGCAUCUUUCAUCCUCCAUCCCAGCCCCCUGGGCCGCAGGGCUGUGCUUCGCCAGGAACAUCAGAGCGAGCCCCGCACUCACUCCCGUGUGGAAUGGCUCCAGGAACGGGGCUGGGGAUGUGAGAGCCUUUCAAGUGGCACCAAAGCAGCCACUGCUGAUGGCAUCCGUACCUCGGUGCAGUGCCACGCCUCUGGGACUGUGCCAUUCCAGACUGCCAAGCAUCUGGAGCGGGGCUCCAGGCAAAGGGCUCCCAGCACUGCCUCGCUGGCAGGAGGCUCAGCUAGAGGUGUCUGCAGGCCCCUGAGGGCCUUGGGGUGGGUAAAAGGGAAAAUUGGAAUGCUGGGGAGCGAAAACAUGCAGGGUGCACACACCAGUUCAGAACAAAACCAGCUGGGCAAUGGACAAAACCAUCCAGCUGCACCCAUGUCCUGCUGUGGGAAAACCAAGGAAACCUCAGGUUCUCCUUCUCUGGAUUUCCUCCACUUGCAGUUCACAGUCAUUUGACUGAACUCUGCAAAGAUCUUGACUCCUUCCACACCACCUGCACCACAAACACCUCCUCUCUGUCCUAGAAUUUGUUCUCCUCAGCCUCCUGUUGGCUCCUAUGUUGAGACAGGGCAAUUCCACUCUUUCCUGUCCCCAUACUUUAUACAGGUCAUAACAUAGUUGUAGGAGGGCUUUUACAGUAUAAAUUACACAGGACACUGAUUUUUCAGUAGUGUAACACUUGUCUCUUACCUUUGGAUUUUAUGGCAGUUACUUUCUCCUUCCGUGUCUCAGUCCUGUAAAAGAUUUCAAAUAAUCAGCACAAUGUCACAGAUUAAAAGUGACUUUUUAAAAAAUACUGUGAGAUGGUUUAAAAAAAAUAUCAGUAAGUUUUGUAACUACUUUUUUUUUU
This is a long non-coding RNA of Pseudopipra pipra, 1640 nucleotides long. RefSeq lists it as uncharacterized. The transcript has 2 exons. The record is from RefSeq and is a predicted model, not a curated record. Lineage: Eukaryota; Metazoa; Chordata; Aves; Passeriformes; Pipridae.